Molecule: ribosomal RNA, 436 nt
Filed under: uncultured bacterium
Lineage: Bacteria
Description: partial 16S ribosomal RNA
Rfam family: Bacterial small subunit ribosomal RNA
Source: RNAcentral
AACGAACGCUGGCGGCAUGCCUAACACAUGCAAGUCGAACGAGAUCCUUCGGGGUCUAGUGGCGCACGGGUGCGUAACGCGUGGGAAUCUGCCCUUAGGUUCGGAAUAACAGUUAGAAAUGACUGCUAAUACCGGAUGAUGACGUUAAGUCCAAAGGUUUAUCGCCUGAGGAUGAGCCCGCGUCGGCUUAGCUAGUUGGUGUGGUAAAGGCGCACCAAGGCGACGAUCCUUAGCUGGCCUGAGAGGAUGAUCAGCCACACUGGGACUGAGACACGGCCCAGACUCCUACGGGAGGCAGCAGUGGGUAAUAUUGGACAAUGGGCGCAAGCCUGAUCCAGCAAUGCCGCGUGAGUGAUGAAGGCCUUAGGGUUGUAAAGCUCUUUUACCCGGGAUGAUAAUGACGGUACCGGGAGAAUAAGCCCCGGCUAACUCCGUG